CGGGGUACGGCUUACACUAAACUUAACCUCGAAGGUUAAUGAAUUACUAAAUCAUUAGCAUGGUUCACCGGAUAAUGCGGAAAUCUAAAGACAAAGACAGUUUCCGGUCAAUAUUCUGCGAAAACCAAGCCAGUAUUAUAUCUUUGUGGUGUGGCAGUGCGAUUUUGUUUAUCGGUCCCAAAAAUGAUGUAUUUAAGCGGUUUCGCGGUAUAACGGCUUUCGCCUCAACUAAGUAGUGUCCGGAUUCCUGGGAAGAUGACGCCACUCUCGACGUUCGCCUCAAGAAAGUUUCAGGUUUCAGAGAUGACGCCACUAUUGCGCCAUCUAUCGGCGACUGCCUCCACUAGUAUAAGUAUAUACAGUAUAUUUGCUUGAGGUAAAAGUCGGCGAACUGGACUACUUUCGACGGGGCUCUACGUCGCUAAUAUCAGCAUCUCCGACUUCCUGCUCCUGUUUCGCAUUUUACAUAGAGACCAAAGUUUUGUGACACAAAGCAUACAACUUACAGGUGGGUAGGGUUUAAUAACUAAGGAUGUAUAUAUCGCUCAUUUCAUGGUAAGUACCCACAGUUGUUGGUCCUAAACCUCGCCAUUCCCUCCAACUUGCUUUAGAAUUAUAUCUUGAUCAUAAAGGUUCUAAACUGAUCAUUGGGUUGGCGACCGAUUACUGUUUGUAAUGGAAGCAAUAAAACA
Cylas formicarius (sweet potato weevil) is the source of this 692-nucleotide long non-coding RNA. RefSeq lists it as uncharacterized. The transcript has 3 exons. NCBI's taxonomy places the organism in Eukaryota, Metazoa, Arthropoda, Insecta, Coleoptera, Brentidae. The record is from RefSeq and is a predicted model, not a curated record.